Long non-coding RNA from Neopelma chrysocephalum (saffron-crested tyrant-manakin), 547 nucleotides. RefSeq lists it as uncharacterized. Lineage: Eukaryota; Metazoa; Chordata; Aves; Passeriformes; Pipridae. The record is from RefSeq and is a predicted model, not a curated record. The transcript is spliced from 3 exons.
CAGGAGAGCAGCUCCCGCACGAGGCAGCAUCUCCUCUGGGUGCUCUGUGGCACAGAAUGUCAGACAGACAUGGAGAAUCUUUUGAAGAACAUGAAGUCCCAGACCUGCAAGGGGCUGCUGAGCCUGGAGAAGAGGUGUGAGGUGGGCCACAGGCAGCAAGAUGCAGCACCUCGGGACAACCAGAGCAAGGCCUCAUCCCUCCGUGGGGACAGGAUACCACUCAUUCCCUGCCCACAGGGCUUGCAGGAUGCUGGUAGGCACCCUCCACAGGGGCUGGAAAGGAGAGGCCGGGCUCGCCCCAGGCGCAGGGCUCCACGGAGGAAUGCUUUCCUGCAGUGGCAGCAGGGCACCCUGGAAGAGAACUCAUGCAGCAGGGAUGUGAGGAGCGGCUUGCAGCCCUGACAUGGUCUCAGCUGCUCUCAGCUGCUCAAUGACACAGCCGGUCAGGAAGCUUCCUCAGUUUACGAGUUGUCCACGAAGGUGAUGAAGAUUGAUAGAAAGAAAAGACAGAAACAGGAGAAGCAAUAAAAUGAGUGAUCAUACAGUG